CACGUAGGGCGCAAGCGUUGUCCGGAAUUAUUGGGCGUAAAGAGCUCGUAGGCGGUUUGUCGCGUCUGCUGUGAAAACCUAAGGCUCAACCUUGGGCUUGCAGUGGGUACGGGCAGACUAGAGUGCGGUAGGGGUGACUGGAAUUCCUGGUGUAGCGGUGGAAUACGCAGAUAUCAGGAGGAACACCGAUGGCGAAGGCAGGUCACUGGGCCGCAACUGACGCUGAGGAGCGAAAGCAUGGGGAGCGAACAGG
This 253-nucleotide ribosomal RNA is filed under the name uncultured bacterium. RNAcentral's name for it is "partial 16S ribosomal RNA". It matches the Rfam family "Bacterial small subunit ribosomal RNA", at positions 524 to 776 of the family's 1533-position model. The record is from RNAcentral.